GGCAGACGCUUAACGACUGAGCCAUCCAGGCGCCUCCCCAUCUCUCUUUUUAUAGAGAAACUAACAAGGCUGAAAAGUGAUGAAAAGAGCUUAGUUUAGGGGACCAGAAGAAAGGUCUCUAAAAGUUAGUGAAAUAAACCCAGAGGGCAACCCAAGUUUUAAAUUAAGCGAGGAGGGUUACCUGACUUACAAUUUCAUUUUAAUAAUAUUUUAGAUAUUUUAAAAUCUAUUUUUAAUCUAGUCAUAAUACCAAAGGUAUAUUCCGUCUGUUUUACAUUUUUUGCCAUCCAAAGCUAACAGUGUAUUAGUAAUAAUUGACCACAGACAUAAGGAAUGGGAAUUUGACCCCAGAUUCAAGAAUAGAGUUUACAAAUUUACAGAUUUGUAAGGCUUUUUAAAGUACCACUGUAGUGAUCCAAGGUGUAGUUUGUGGGAUUCUUUAAAAGUUUUUGCAGCUAUUAAAAAAGGAAACAUUUUGUGUGUACAUGGAUGGGGGAGAGGGAGAUCUGCAAGAUAUAUAGGAUAUAUAGAUAACGUAAGUGCAGAACAGGGCAUACUAUGCUAUCAUUUUGUAUUACACACACUUAAACAUACAUAUAUACGCAGACAUUUAAUUUCUUGAUUGCUUUUAUUUUUUUAUUUUAUUUAUUUAUUUUAAAGAUUUUAUUUAUCUAUUUGACAGAAACACAGUGCGGGGCUCGAUCCUAGGACCCUAGGAUCAUAACCUGAGCCGAAGGCAGAUGCUUAACGACUGAGCCACACAGGCGCCCCUCUUGAUUGUUUCUAGAUGACUUUGGAAGGAGAGAUAGGUUUCUUCCAGGAAGGGAACUAGUGACUGGGGAAUAAGAGUGAAAGGGAGAUUUACAUUUCAUUGUAUACCCUUGUGUGCCUUUUGAAUUUUGUGCCUUAUGCGUGUAUUCCAUAUUCAGAAAUAAUAUUUAAAUAUUUUUUAGAAAAUGCAGUGAUCUAAAAGAAUAACUAUUACAUUUUUAAAUUAUUUUACUGGGUAAGAUUGGAUUUUAUAGUUUUUCUAGCACCUUUCAGACAUUAAAUAGAAAUGUGCCAUAUAAUAUAUGCAGUUAUUUUUUUUCCUUAAGAGCUAUUUUUAUUAGGCGUUUGUUUUUAAAAAAUCGGAUAAGAUAUAGUUUAUCUAUAAUAAAAUCCAUCCCUGUUGAGAUCAUAAGUUUGAUGAGUUUUAGCAAUUUUAUGUGGUUGUGCAACUAUCACCCAUUCAAGAUCUAGAGCAUUUCCAUCAGCCCAUAAGUUCCCUCUUGUACUUUUGCAGUCUUCUUUCCUCAUCCUGGUCCUGCGCCACCACUGCUCUGCAUUCUGUUACUAUGGUUACACUUUUUUUAGAUUUUCAUAUUAACGAAGUCAUAGUAUGUAGUCUUUUGUCCUGCCAUCUUUCACAUACCUCAGUGUUUUGUGUUUUUGUUUUUAAUUCAUCCAUGCUGUUAGGUAUGUCAGUAGUUCCUUUUUGUUGCUGAGUACUGUUCCAUUGUAUGGAUACACUAUACUUUGUUUAUUCAGUCAUCAGUUGAUUGAUAUUAGAGUUUUUUCUAAUUUGGGGGCAUUAUGAAUAGAGUUGCUAUGAACAUUCUCAUUCACAUCUUGAUUGUAGAUACAUGUUUUCAUUCCCUUGGGAUAAAUAUUUAGGAGGAAGAUGGCCAUAUCCUUGCCAACACUUGGUAUUUCUAAUCUUUUUAAUUUAACUGUUCUGGUUGGUGUGUAGUAAUAUCUCCUUGUGGUUUUAAUUUGCAUUUUCCUAAUGACUAAUGAGAUUGGUUAUCUGUCCAUGGGCUUAAUUGCUAUUCACAUAUUUUCUUUAAGUUCUGUACAGAUUGAGGUAUAAAAGUUCUUAAACAUCUUAGAUACAAGUUCUUAUCAAAUAUAAAAUGCAGAUAUUUUCUUCCAGUCUGUGGUUUCUUUUCAUCCUCUCUCUUUUUAAUCUAAAUAAUAGUCUAAAUAAUCGUCAUUUUAAAGGCUACUGCAUUCAGUCAUCUUGAAGCAUAAAGUUUACAACCAGUUUAUUUUGGUCUUUUAUGUUGCUUCUAAUUUUUUUCCAGUUUUAUGGAGAUAUAAUUGAUAUAUAAAUUUGUAUUAGUUUAAGGUAUACAAAAUAAUGAUUUGAUAUGUGUAUAUUUAGCAGAAUAAUUACAAUAAAUGUAGUUAACAUAAUAUCACCUCCCACAGUUAAUUUUUUUCUUGUGAUGAGAACUUCCAAGGUCUACUCUCUUAGCAGCUGUCAAAUAUACAGUAAAGAAUUGUUAACUAUACACACCAUGCUGUACAUUACAUUGCCAGAACUUAUUUAUCUUAUAACUGGAAGUUUGUACCCUUUGACUACCUUCACUCAUUUUCCCCAUUCCUGCCCUCUGCCUCUGGUAACCAUCAAUCUGUUCUCUGUCUCUGUGAGUUAAAGUUAUAUGAGAUUCCACAUGCAAGUGAGAUCAUACAGUAGUUGUAUUGCUCUGCUUGACUUACUUCACUUAAUAGUGCUUUCAAGGUCCAUCCAUGCUGUCGCAAAUGGUAGGAUUUCCUUCUCUUUGUGGCUGAAUAAUAUUCUAUAUGUGGUAUGUAUACCACAAUAUCUUUAUUCAUUCAUCCUUGGAUGGACAUUUGGUUGUUUCCGUGUCUUGGCUAUUGUAAAUAAUGAUGCAUUGACAUGGAGUACAGGUAUCUAUUAGAGGUAGUGAUUUCAUUUUCUUCAGAUAUAUACCCAGAAAUGGCAUUGCUUGAUCAUAUGGUAGUUCUCUUUUUAAUUUUUUGAGGAACGUCCAUACUCUUUUCUUUCUUUCUUUUUUUUUCCUCAUCCGUACUGUUUUCUAUAGUGGCUGCACAAAUUUAGAUUCCCACCAGUGCACAAGGGUUCCCUUUCUUCCACAUUCUCACCAACACUUCUUAUCUCUUGUCCUAUUGAUGUUAGCCAUUCUGACAGCCAGGAGGUGAUACCUCCUUGUGGUUUUAAUUUGCAUUUUCCUGAUGAUUAGUGAUAUUGAGGACCUUUUCAUGUGCCUGUUGGCUACUUGUAUGUCUUCUUUGGGGGAAUGUCUAUUCAGUUCUUCUGCCCAUUUUUAAAUUGGAUUGUUGGGGCACCUGGGUGGCUCAGUCGUUGGGCGACUGCCUUCGGCUCAGGUCAUGAUCCCAGGGUCCUGGGAUUGAGCCCUGCGUUGGGCUCCCUCCUCAGCAGGAGGCCUGCUUCUCCCUCUCCCACUUCCCCUGCUUGUGUUCCUACUCUCGCUGUGUCUCUGUCAAAUAAAUAAAAUCUUUAAAAAUAAAUAAAUAGGAUUGUUUGUUGUUUUUGCCACUGAGUUAUAGUUCUUUAUAUAUUUUGGGUAUUAAACCCUUAUCAGAUACAUGAUUGGCAAAUACGUUUUCCACCUUCUGUGGUUGUGUUUUGAUUUUUGUCAGUGGUUUCCUUGGCUGAGAAGAAGCUUUAUAGUUUGAUGUAGUCCCCCUUGCUUAUUUUUGCUUUUGUUGCCUUUCCUUUUAGUGUCAAAUCCAAAGAAUCAUUGCCAAGAAUGAUAUCAAGGAAUUUAUCCCUUAUGUUUUCUUCUAAGAUUUUUGUGGUUGCAGGUCCUACAUUCAAGUCUUAAGUGCAUUUUGAGUUGAUUUUUGUGUAUGGUGUAAAAGAGGGGUCCACUUUCAUUCUUUUGCAUUUGGCUGUCCCAGUUCUCCCAGCACCAUUUAUAGAAAAGACUAUCCUUUCCAUUGUAUAUUCUUGAUUUCUUUGUCAUAAGUUCAUUGGCCAUAUAUGCAUAGGUUUAUUUCUAGGCUCUCUGUUCUGUUCCAUUGAUUUAUAUGUCCAUUCUUGUGCCAAUACCAUACUGUUUUGAUUACUAUAGCUUUGAAGUAUAGUUUGAAAUCAAGAAAUGUAAAUGCCUCCAGCUUUGUUCUUCUUUCUCAAGAUUGCUUUGGCUAUUCAGGUUCUUUUGUGGUUUUGUAUAAAUUUUAAGAUUGUUUUUUCUAUUUCUGUGAAAAAUGCCAUUGGAAAAUAGGGAUUGCAUUGAAUCUGUAGAUUAUUUUGGGUAGUAGGGACAUUUUAAUAAUAUUCUUCCAGUCCAUGAACAUAAUAUUUUUCCAUUUAUUUGGGUCUUCAGUUUCUUUCAUUAAUGUCUUAUAGAUACAAUUUUUGGGUCUUCAGUUUCUUUCAUUAAUGUCUUAUAGAUACAAUUUUUAGUGUGUAGAUCUUUCACCUUAUUUUAUAGGUUUUUUAUCUGAUGAUGAUUAGUGAUGUUGAGGACAUCACUAAUUUAUUUAUAGGUAUUUUAUUUUUGAUGCAAUUAUACAUGAGAUUGUUUUCUUAAUUUCUCUUUCUGAUAGUAACUUAUUAGUGUAUAGAAAGGCAACUGAUUAUUGUAUAUGAUUUUUGUAUCUGGCAACUUCACUGAAUUUGUUGAUUAAUUCUAACAAAAUUUUUUGUUGGAGUGUUUCAUGUCACCUACAAACAUAGACAGUUUUACUUUUUCCUUUCUGAUUUAGAUGUCUUUUAUUUCUUUUUCUUGCCUAAUUGUUCUGGCUAGGACUUCCAGUACUAUGUUGAAUAAAAGUGGCAAGAAUGGACAUCCUUGUCUUAUUCCUGAUCUUAGGUUUUCCACUGAGUAUGAUGUUAGCUGUGGGCUUGUCAUAUACAGCCCCUGUUAUGUUGAGGUAUGUUUUCUCUAUACCUCACUUCGUUUAGAGUUUUUGUCAUGAAUUGAUGUUGAAUUUUAUCAAAUGCUUUUUCUGCAUCUAUUGAGAUGACUUAUUAUCCUUUAUUAUGUUAAUAUGGUAUAUCACACUUAUUGAUUCCCAGAUGUUGAAUUAUUCUUGCAUCCCUGGAAUAAAUCCCACUUGAUCAUGGUGUAUGAUCCUUUUAAUGUGGUGUUGAAUUCAGUUUGCUUAUAUUUGUUGAGAAUAUUUGCAUCUGUGUUGAUCAAGAAAGUUGAGCUAUAAUUUUUUUUUUCCUUGUAGUGUCAUUGUCUGUCUUUAGUAUCAGGGUAAUGCUGGCCUCAUGAGCUUGGAAAAAUGUUCCUUCCUCUUAUAUGGUUUGGAAGAGUUUGAGAACAACUGGUAUUAAUUCUUUAAAUGUUUGGUAGAAUUUAUCAGUAAAGUAAUCUAGCUUUUUUUUGUUUGUUUUGUGAGGAUUUUGAUUACCAGUUCAAUCUUUUUACUAUAGAAUUGGUCUGUUAAUAUUUUCUACUCGUUCAUGAUUCAGGCUUGGUAGGUUGUUCUAGGAAUUUAUCCAUUUUUUCCAAGUGUCCAAUUUGUUGGUGUAUAAUUAUUUAUAGUAGUCUUUUAUGUUCCUUUGUAUUUAAGUGGUAUCAGUGUCACCUCUUUCAUUUGUAAUUUUAUUUGAGUCCUCUCUUUUCUUUAAGCUAAAGGUUUGUUUUGCUUAUCUUUUCAAAAAAACUAGCUCUUAGUUUCAUUGAUCUUUUCUGUUGUCUUUUUAGUCUCUAUUUGAUUUAAUUUCACUAUGAUCUUUGUUACUUCUUUCCUUCUGCUAACUUUGGGCUUAGUUUGUUACUUUUCUAGUUCCUUGAGGUGUAAAGUUAGGUUGUUUAUUUGAGAUCUUUUUCUUCAUGUACGUGUUUACUGCUAUGAACUUUGCUCUCGGAACUUAUGCAUCCUGUAAGUUUUGGUAUAUGUAUUUUUCAUUUGUCUCAAGGUAUUUUUUUAUUCUCUUUUGAUCUCACCUUGACUAGUUGUACAAUUCAUGUUAUUUAAUGUCCACAUAGUUGUGAAUUUUCCAGGGUUUUUUUUUUUUUUGUAAUUGAUUUCUAGUUUCAUACCAUUGUCAUAGGAAAAGAUGUUUUAUAUGAUUUCAGUCUUCUUAAAUUUAUUAAGAUUUGUUUUGUGGCCUAACGUGAUCUGUCCUGGAGGAUGUUCCAUGUUUGCUUGAGAAGAAUAUGUAUUCUGCUGCUUUUGGAUGGAAUGUUACCGUAAAUGUUAAGUGUCUGGUCUAAUGUAUAGUUUAACUCCAGUGUUCCUUUUUUGAUUUUCUGUCUGGGUGAUCUAGACAUUGUUGAAAGUGCAGUACUAAAAUCCCUUUAUUAUUGUGUAGUUGUCUAUUUCUUCUUUCAAGUCCGUUAAUAUUGGCUUUAUAUACUUUAUAUAUUUAGGUGCCCCUAUGUUGGGUGCAUAAAUAUUUGCAAAGAUUAUAUCCUCUUGUUGGAUUGACUCCUUUAUCACUAUAUAAUGACCUUCUUUGUCUCUUAUUACAGUCUUUGGCUUAAAGUCUAUUUUGUCUGGGGGUGCCUGGGUGGCUCAGUCGGUUAAGCGGCUGCCUUCAGCUCAGGUCAUGAUCCCGGGGUCCUGGGAUUGAGCCCCGCAUCAGGCUCCCUGCUCAGUGGAGAGUCUGCUUCUCCCUCUCCCUCUGCCUGCCUCUCUGCCUACUUGUGCUGUUUGUCAAAUAAAUAAAUAAAAUCUUUAAAAAAAAAAAGUCUAUUUUGUCUGAUCUAAGUUAGUUUAUGUACUUUUCAUUAUAAUAUGCUAUAUUCUUUGUUCUCUUAACAGUAUCAUUUGGAGAGCCAAAAUUUCUAAUUUUAAUGAAAUACAAUUAAUUUUUUUCUUUAUGGAUAGUGCUUUUGUUUCAUAUCUAAAAAAUAUUUGCCUGAAUGAAGAUAAGAAAGAUUUUGUCCCCUGUUUUCUCCUGGAAGUUUCAUAAUUUCAGCUUUUAUCUUUAUAAUCCAUAUGUUAGUUCUGUGGGACUACCACAGCUGCAUGGCUUAAGCAAUAGAAAUUUUUCUGACAGUUUUUGAGGCUAGCUGUCUGUAACUGAGAUAUCAGUAGAGUUUGUUCCUUCUGUGAGGGCUGUGAGUGAGAAUCUGUUUCAUGCCUCUCUCCCAGCUUCUAAUGGCCUCAGGCAUUCCUUAGCUUAUAGAUGGUAUUCUUCCUAUGUUUUCAUAUUGACUUCUCUCUAUAAAUGUCUGUCUGUGUUGACAAAUUUCCUCUUUUUAUAAGGUCACAGUCCUAUUGGGUUAGGGCCCUCCUUAAUGACUUCAUUCUAACUGGAUCAUCUAUCUACAGAAACCCUAUUUCCGAAGGUCACAUUCACAGGUUCUGGGGGUUAGGAUUUUAACAUCUUUUGGAGGAACACAACUCAACUCGUAACAAUCCAUUUCAAAAAUAUUUUGGGGGGUGCCGGGGUGGCUCAGUGGUUAAGCGUCUGCCUUCGGCUCAGGUCAUGAUGGGAUCAAGCCCCACAUUGGGCUCCCUGCUCCAUGGGAAGCCUGCUUCUCCCUCUCCCACUCCCCCUGCUUGUGUUCCCUCUCUCGCUGUGUCUCUCUCUCUGUCAAAUAAAUAAAUAAAAUCUUAAAAAAAAAACAAAACCGUAAACCGCUUCCAACCCAUUCAUCUGAAUUUAUUUAAAAAAAUAAUAAUUUUUGUAUAUGGUGUGAGAUAAAGGUUGAACUUCAUUUCUUUGCAUUGGACAUCAAAUUUUUUCAGGAUCAUUUGUUGAAAAGACUAUUCUUCCCUCACUGAAUUACUUUAGGACCUUUAUUGUAAAUCAGUUAACCAUACAUUUUGAUCUAUUUCUGAACAUUGUUUUGCUUUAUUGGCCUAUAUCUGUGUACCCCUAAACUGAUUUCACAUUGUCUUGAAUUCUUUAAUUUUAUAAAGACAUGAGGUCAGGUGCAUUAAGUCCUCCAACUUUGUUCUUUUUUCCAAAAUUGUUUUGACCAGUCUGUGUCCUUUGCAUUUCCAUUAAAAUCAACUUGACAAUUUCUACAAAAAGAAAACCCUAUAGAAAUUGUGUACAUCAUUUUGCUGAUGGUUUUGGUGCUAUUAUAAAUGGGGUUUUGGUGCUAUUAUAAAUGGGACUUUAAAAAAAAUCUCAGUCUGAUUUUUCAUUUUAUUAUAUAGAAAUAUUGUGAUUUUUGUACAUUGACAUUGUGUCCUGCAACCUUGCUAAACUCAUUUAUUACUUCUAGUAACUUUAAAAAAUUCUUUAAGAUUCUCUAUAUAGAUGAUCUUGUCUUUUGUAAAUAAAGAUAGUUUUAUGUUUUGCCUUCCAAAAUUUCAUUUCAUUUUCUUGUUUUGUACUGGAGGCUAAACCUCCAGGACUAUAUUGCAUAGAAGUGGUAAGAGUGGACAUCUGUGCCUUGUUACCACUCUUAAAAGGAACAGCAUUUGGUCUUCCACCAUUAAGUUGCUUGUAAAUUUUUUUAGAUGUUCUUCAUCAAGUUAAGGCAAUUCCUGUCUAUUCCUAGUUGGCUUAGACUUUUUAUCUUGAAUGACUGUAAAUUUGUUAAAUACUUUUUCUGUAUCUGUGUAUUUUUAUCCUUUAGUCUGUUAAUAUUGAUGAGGUAUGUUGGCUUACCUUUGAAUGUUAAGCCAACCUUGCAUUCCUGCAACAAACCCUCCUGGUCAUCAUAUAUUAUCAUUUUUAUACUUUCCUAUAUUUUCUUAAUAUUUUUCUGUCUAAGAUAAUGUAUUGGCCUGUAACUUUUUUUUCUUCUAUUAUCUCUGUGUGGUUUUGGUAUCAGGGUAAAGUUGGCUUCACAAAAUGAGUUUGGAUGUAUUUCCCUCCUGUUUCCUGAAUAAAUGUGUACAAAACUGUAAUUAUUUCUUCCUGACAUAUUUGGUAGAAUUCACCAAUGAAGCCAUCUGUGCCUAGAAUUUUUUUUUAUGAGAAGGUUUUUAACUCAAUUUCUAUUUCUUUAAUGGGCAUAGAACUAUUCAGAUUAUCUAUUUCUUUUGUGAGUGCACUUUGAUAAUUUGUGUCUUUAAAGGAAGAUUUUCAUUUCAUCUGAGUUGGCAAAUCCAUUGGUGAAAGUUGUGUUUUAUGUUCAUUACCCUUUAAAGUGAUUUCUCUAUUAUUGUCUGUUUUCAAUUUUUUAAUUUUCUUUUUUCUACCUUCUUUGAGUUUAACUUUAUUUUUUCAGUUUCUUAAGGUGGAAGCUUGGGUCAUUGAUUUGAAUCUUGUCUUUUUUAUAUGUGUCUAGUGCUAUAAGUUUCCCUCUAAUCACUACUUUAAUUGCAUGCCACAAACUUUGAUAUGUUGUAUUUUCAUUUACAUUUUGUUUAAAUUAAUUCCUAAUUUCUCUUGUGAUUUCAUCUGCGAUCCAUGGAUUGUUUAAUUUGGAAGCAUUUGAAAAAUUUUCAGAUGUUUUUAUGUUAUAAUGAUUUCUAGUUUUAAUUUUGGCCCAAGAAUAUACUUUAAUUUCAAUGUGUAUAAUUUGAAGGGUUUUAUUUUUAAUAGUGUAGGAUUCUAUCUUACACUACAUUCUGAAUGUUACAUAUGCAAUUCUUUUAAAUGUAUAUUCUCCUCUUGUUGAGUGAAGUUUUCUAUGAAGGUCAGGAAGAGUUGGUUGAUAGUGUUUUCUUUCUGGAUUUCUUUUUACUCAUUUACCAUUUAUUGAGAAAGGAGUAUUGAAAUCUGAAUAUAAUUUUAGAUUUGUCUAUUAGUUCUCUCAGUUUUAAUUAAUAGAGCUUAAAAACAUGAAGCAAAAAUUAUUUGCAGGCACAUUUAGGAUUUUUACAACCUUUGAUAUAUUGAUUUCUUUUUCAGUGUAAGUUUUUUUCCUUAUCUCUGGUAAUGUACCUUGUUCUGAAGUCACAUUUAUGUGGUAUUGAUAUAACCAGUCUUAUUUUUUUCCCCAAAAGAUUAGUGUUUGCAUUGUGGUAUAUUUUUAUAUGUUUUUGCUUAUAUACUUUCUGUCUUCAUAUGUGAAGUGGGGUUUUUUGUAGAUUACAUAUGCUUGGGUUAUGCUUUUUAAAUUCAGUCUGACAACUUCUGUUUUUUAAGUGCUUAAACCAUUUAUAUUUAAUACAGUGUUUAAUAUAGAUGCAUUUAAAUGUAUUGUUUUUUGUUUGUCUCUUCUGGUCUUGGGUCAUUUUCUCUUCUUUUGAAUUGAGUAUAUUCUGUAAGUCCAUUUUAUCUCCAUUGUUGAUUUAUUCUCUUUUAAAAAAUUUUUUCAGCAAUUUCUCUAGUGCCAGGGUCAGUAGACUACAUCUAUGGGCCAAAUCUCACCCACCAUCUCUUUUUGUGAAUAGAGUUUUAUUGGGACAUAGCAUGCUCAUUCAGUAAUAUCUUGCCUGUGACUGCUUUUAUGCUACAACAGCAGAGUUAAGUAGCUGUGACAGGGACCAUAUGGUACACCAAGCCUAAAAUACUAGUAUCUGGUCUUUUAUAAAAAAUUUUUCAUCCUUUAGUUUAUAUAAUAUACAUCUUUAUUUCAUCAGAGAUGUCUUCAAACAGUAUCAUACUAUUCUAAGUAUGAUGUAAUGUAUACCUUAGAAUAGUAUAUUUCUAUUUUCUUUUGUCACUUGUACUAUUGUACAUUUUAUUUCUGUAAACAGUUGAUUCUCAUAAUUUGUGAUAGUUAUAUUCUGUAAAGUGACCUCAAACAUUAGUGAAUUAGUGAAUAUUGAAGAGUUGCUCCUAGGGGAAAUACAGGGUUGGGUUCCUGUGAGCAUCUGGUCACAACAUUUUUGUCAACCAGUAAAUACAUAACGUUUUUUUUUUUCUUUUUUUAAAGAUUUUAUUUAUUUAUUUGAGAGAGCAUGAGUGGGGAGGGUCAGAGGGAGAAGCAGACUCCCCGCUGAGCAGGGAGCCCGAUGCGGGACUCGAUCCCGGGACUCCAGGAUCAUGACCUGAGCCGAAGGCAGUCGCUCAACCAACUGAGCCACCCAAGCGCCCUACAUAAUGUUGUUUUAUAUGUGUUUCUGUUUAAAGAUGCCUUAUUUAGUAUAUACAGGUGAUUCAUUAACAUUGAUCUCACAGCCAACAGCACUGUAACUUAUGCCUGAAUGAAGCUUCUCUAACACACAUAUUCUCUCCAUAAGGCAUAUUAUAGACUACUUGAUCUUAGGAACACUUGACAGCACUUCAGUAUGAUGCUUGGGGGGUCAUUUUAAACAGAAAAAUCACCAUCAAAAAAGCCCCCAAAUUCAGAACACAUGACAAUAAAUAGACCGUGAAAAGGACAUGUGUUUUUACACUGUGAGAAUUUAAACAAGAGCAUCACCUUGUUUGACUUCAGAUGGGAACAUGCACAAGAGUGACUCAAAUUUUUUGUCUUCUUUGCAUGUCUGUGAAUGACUGUAAAAGCACAGAAAGUAUUGAUUUUUGGUUACAAAUAAAUUUUGGGGAGUAGGCAUGUUCACAGAUCUAGAAUCUGUGAAUGAUGAGGAUCAGCUGUUGCUACAAAUCCCACAACACAUUGUUUUUCUUCUUGCUUUUAACAGUAAAUUAUGUUUUAAAGAAAUUAAAAGUGAGAAAAAUUACCUUUUAUAUUUACUUCCAUAUUUAACAUUUUCAUUACUUUUCAUUACUUUGUGUUGGAUCCAAACUGUAUGCAAUAUGUUCUUUUCUCUGGCUUCAUUUACAAUUUUUGUCUUCUUGGUUUUCAGCAGUUUAAAUAUGAUUGCUUUAUUGUGGUUUUUUUUUUCUGUUUUUGUUGCUGGGGUUUGUUGAACUUGGUCUUGAGGUUAUAGUUUCCUCAACUUGGGAGACUUUUUGUAUUCAUUAAAGCUUCCUUUAGUCUUUUCCUGUGUGCCAUUUUUACUGCCCUUACAAAAUUUUCCUGCACAUGUUUGUUUGCUUUCCUCCUCGUCUUUCUAUCUAAUAUUUAGGCUUUCACUUGAAAUAUAUAAUGUAAUGGAAAGCUGUAUUUGAAUUGCCCCCAGGUUGUGCCAUGACCACAUCUGAGUGAAUGCAUUAUUGUAAAAUAUUUUUCAGUCCCAGCCUACUGUUGGAAAUAGGUUGAAGGAGUGUGGACCAAGCUCCUUAUUAAAGUUUUCCAUGAUUCAGUAAUUUUUGAUAAGAUAGUAAAUUGAUUACAAUCAAAUGAACAAUCUCUAAUAUAUAUACUUUGACAAAUACACUUCAGUGUUUGUGUCUAUUUGUUUUCCUUAUAAAAUCUUAUCCAACUACUUUUAAACACCCCACAAAAUUUUUUGGUAACUAUGUCAGUGGCAUUUCCUAAAGACCAGCUUUUUUUUUUUUUAAUUAGGAGCAGAAUCUUCAAAUUUUGGUUUGUCAUAUUUAUGCAAAAGUAGCUCAAUUUUCAAAAAUCUUUAUCAUAGGCCACAGGUUGUGAAGGAUCAGGAUUUUUAAACGUUUACAGAUUCCACGUAUGUGGUUUCAUGGUUACAUGCAACUUAGUUUGUAACAAUGAUUUUCAACCCUGGCUGUCCCUUAGAACAAUCAGGAAGCUUAACAGACCUUUCCCCAGACCAGUUAAGUCAGGCUUUCUGGGAGUAGAGAGUCUGUUUAAGAGCUCUACCUAUGGUUCUAAGGAGUAGCCAGAAUUGAGAACCUAAAUGUAAUGGAAAUCAAUAAGCUUAAGAGACCACAUAAGUAAUAAACUGAAGAUAUUUUUUCCAAAUAUUUAAAUUGCAUAUUUUGUUGUAUGAGCUUGCCAUCGUAUAAAAUAUAAUUAUAUGUAUAUUUUAAAUCUUGUAUACAAAUACAUAAAUUCAGUGAGGUCUGCAUCUGAUUAUAGGUUACUAUGAUAGUUGAAAAUUUUAGAAAAAUAAGAGCUAGUGAUUUCAUUUCUUUUACUUGGCAGUUUGCAGAGAGCUAAAUAGUGUGGUACAAUGAGCCUUUACCAGGGGCCAUUAUCUGUAUGGCUUCAUGCAAUUGAACAAAUAUUUGUGGUGCACUUAUUCUAUUCAGUCACCAGGCUAGAUACUGUAGAGUUACCAAGAUGAAAGAUAAAUUUUCUGCCCCAAUGAUUUAUGCUCUGGCAAAAGAAGAUGAGUGAAUGUAAAAUUACCGUAAUAUAAGGUAGAUCAUGGUAAGACCAGAAAUAAAGGUACAAAAUGGUAAAUGACUAAAGGAAUAACUACCAUCUCAUUCAGGAGGUAAUGAAAGCUUGCUUUAAACCCAACUUUUUGCUUUUAUUGUCACCAACUAUGGCCCUUCACCUGGGGAAAUAAACCUUAGUGGCUAGUAAAGUGCCCUGCUACUACUUUGAUAGCUUGUAGCAUGGAUAAAGCAAGAUGCCUUUAACAUCCUCAAUAAUCAGAAACCUGUGUAUUUAUGCACAUAUGGACAUUUCCCCCCAUGGGUAAGUGAAUAAAGCUGUAUGAUUCUGCUUCCUAGUAGUGUUCUAAAUUUUAUGUGAGCUAGAAAUUUGUGGGGAUUUCUGUUCUGUUCAUGGUAAUUUCAUUUACCAUCUCCACCAUCAUUUUUCUUCCAGUACAUUAAACCAUAGUUGCCUUUUAUGGAGAUUGUGAGAAUAGUAAAACAUAACAUUUUAUAUAUAUCCAUUUAAUUACCAUGUGCUAUGCUCUUCAUUCCUGGACAACUUGUGUUUAAACUUUCAUUAUAUUGAUUGUUCUUUUACUUGAGUAUAGCCACCCUAAAACUGUAAGCUCUGUGAGGUCAGACAUGUCCACAGUAGGUGUUCAACAAAUAUUUUUUGGUUGAAUAAAUUCUAAAAAUUCAUAUGAAACAGUAUAGUAUGGUUAUUAAAAACAUUUGGGGUCAAAUCUGGGCUUAUCUCUACCACUUACUAGUUGUGUAACCUUGGUUUCUUAUCUAAAAAAUGAGGUUAAAAUAGUGCUCAUUUCAUGGUUGUGUGUGUAUAUGUAUAUUAUUUGUGUGUGUGUGUGUGUGUGUGUAUAGGAAAUUUGUUUUGCUUAGCCCAGUACCUAGCAUAUAGCAGUCUCACAGUAUUAGUUUCUUAAUAAUAAUAUUAAUCUGACCUUAGUGGUUUCUAAACUGAAAAAACAAAACUUAAGUCGCACAUACUUUGGGAACCUUUUUCUGUUGGGAGUUUAUUGGAAAUUAGUGGUGAUCCAGAAGUGAGUGAAAGCUACUACCAGUUAAGCUUAUGUUUCGCUUUUGUGCUUUAUAGAAUAUACACGUGUCAUAAUCUAUUUUCUGCUGUGUAGAAGACAACCCAGUUGUUCCUUAAUCUGUAUAGGUAAAUUAUUCACGUUUUCUAUUAGCUUCUACAAAUGUUCUUUUUAUUGGUGCAGAAAAUUGGAGGUUAAUGGUAUAUCAGUUCUGUGGCUUAUCUAAUUGUUCUUGGGCCGUAUGUGUCUAUUUCAUGUGCAUUCUUUAGCUCCUGAAAACCUGUGAUUUUUGUCUUGGUAUAUUAUUUUAUAAUAUAAUAGUAUAUUAUAUUCCUCAGGGGAUGAGGUAGUUAUAUGAGUCUUUAGAUUAAUGGUGAUUACAGAUGUAACUUCAGAAUCACAAUUUUGAGCUCAGCUGAUUUAAUUAGUUACUAUUAUUGAGCAGUGAGUAAGCAUGCUUUUCUGUAUUCCUGCACUGUAUGCACAUUCCCAAGGACUAAAUGGCCAGAAGGAGCCUAUAGAGCAACUACAAAGGCCUAGGGAUAGUUAACUGAAACUAUAUAAGAUCUUUUGAUAGCAAAAGAAGGACAUGAAAACUAAUCAAGAGUACAUUAAUAUUUCCAUUAGGAAAAGAAUGAGUAAAGUAUUUUUUGAUAACUGUCUUAAGAAAUGGAUGAAUCAGAUAUAAAUAAAAUUUUAAAUUUUUAUGAAGUAUUUAAAAGACUUUGUGAAAUGUAUUAUCAUAUUCUGAAAAAAAAAAGACUAACAGUGUAUAAUUUUUACUUCCCAAAUUAAAUUAUGUUUUCCAUUCAAGGUUUUAUUGGGAUUCUUUUUACCCUAACAAUAUUUUUCUAAAGUUUAAAAAAGUAGCCAAAAGCAUUAAGUUAAAAGUCUGAAAAAUAAGAAAAAGGGGGGAGAAAAACAGCUACAAUAAUGGAAACUGUAUAUGACUUGAACAGUAAUAGAUCAUUCGUACAUUUUAGGUAUAUGGCUAAGGAGGCAUGAGAAAUAAAAGAGAAUCAUUUUUCGGAAAUGGAGUUUAGAAAACAAGUUAGGCAAUGAGAGGAGCAUUAACAAAGACCUCCACUUAAUAUCUGACACCAGGAUAAAUUUCAGAGGAAUUAAAGUAAAGGUUAAAUAUUGAGAAUUUGGAUCAAAGGAAAAAGAGAAUAAAUGGAAUUGAAUAUUUAUCAAACUUACAGAGAGGGGGAUAUCUCACUUUGAUAUCAGGAAAAGGAAGCACAAGGGUAAAGAACAGUUUACAGAUUUGAGUAUUGAAAAUUAAAAUAUUUACAUAUAUAAAAAUAAAAACAAAGAUAAGAUUGGGGAAAUACUACACAGGUAUUAAAUAUCUAACAUCUUUAUUCUGUAAAGAGCUCAUGUAUUGGUAAGAAAAACAUUGAUCUCUAAAUAUUUAGUCAAAUGAUAUAAAAAUACAUUUCACGAAAAAAUUAGUAAACAGGCAUGUGGGGAAAUGUUGAAAAUAGUAGUAAUAAAUACAGAUUAGGCAUGGUGUUCAAUUAGGGGGAAAAUGAAAUUGGUAUUUCCAGUAAUGAGGAUAUAUAAAACUUCAUAGAAAUAGAAAGAUUUCAGGCUUAUAUUUAGUUAAAAUUGGGAUUGAAUUCUAAUACAGAUAAUACAAAACAUAUACAUUGAGAUUUUUGUUUGUUUGUUUCCAGGAAAAUAUCUAACAGAUCAUUUGUAGUUGAGCUUUGCUUAAAACUUGGAUAUGACCAAAAGUGGUCACUCUUUGAAUUCAGUCCAAUUUCAUGACACGUCCCGAGGGCGGAUUGGGUGGAGUUUCUUUUGUUGUUGUUGUCUUUAACUUAAGCCAAAAAUUUAGCUUCCUUUUCUUGAAGAUUUGAAAUGCUUCAACAUUUAUGUUACACUGAAAUUGGUUCUGUCUUACUCAUCUUUCUGUCCCCCCAAAUGCCUUAGUUUCAGUAGACAUUUGUUAAAGGAUAUGUUCUACCUGCUUUUACUGCUGAAAAUAAUACUGCAAAUAAUCUGUGGUGAUAGUUAACCUCUGUUGAUUAAAUGAUUUAUAGAAAGAAAUAAGCAGAUAAGCACCAGUAUUCUUUUCCAUUCUGUUUCAUGUAUUGGUACCUUAGUUGUACCAAACCUGCUCCGACUAGUUUAUAUUUUUCAGAUAUUUAAUUCAAAGAACUCUUUCUUCCUAGGAUUGUGCAAAAGGCCAGCUUCUUGAAAUACUUGAAAUUCUCAAAGUUAUUCACUCUGAGAACACCAGUAAACUUUUUCCUUAUUCCUUGUAAGAAUGUAGAUUAGCACUACUUAAUUGGCAAAUAUUAUAGCUCCAAUAUCUCAUUUUAAUGUAUAAGAUUAAAUUAAACCAGUGGUUCUCAACCAGAGUGAUUUUGAUCCCUGGCAACAUUUAGCAGUAUCUGGAGUUUUUUUGUUUGGUUGUCACUACUGGGGAGAGAGGGCGUGCUAUUGGCAUCUAGUGGGUAGAGAGCAGGGAUGUUACUGCAAUGCUCGGGGGAGCUCCCCACAACAAAGAAUUAUCUGGCCCAAAAUGCCAGUUGUGAAUCUUCUAGAUGUAAAAGGGAGUUUAUAUGCUGAAGAGAACGCUUAAACUGAUGAAACUCAAAGAACUAGUGAGACUGGCUAUCAGGAGAACUGAGAAGGCAGACAGAUCUGAGCAGCAGGUAGAAUUGAGAUUGAGCCAAACGGAAACAAGAUCUCUGCUGGGAGGCCACCGCCAAAGAAUCAAAUUACAGUGAGCAAAUCAAAACCCAGGGAACAGGCCAAAAGCUUUGCCCAAUCUUAGAGUGAGUGAUUGUGCAUGGAUUCCCAAUGUCAAAAUUACAUUAGUGUUUAAACCUGUACUAUUAUUUUUUGUUAUUGGCGUAUGUUUAAAAAAAAAAAAAAAGAGUCCAAGAAAGAGAUAGCAGUGUUCUAAAGCCAAAGAGACAGACUCAGGGUGGAGAUUUUGAUUCUUAAACUUUGUUUUGAAAUUAGAGACCCUUUUCAGGUCACUUACUUCAGAUCUUCAUCUGGAAAGCUGGGAUCAUGAUUCCUACCUUCAUUAAAAAAUUAUGGUGAUAAAAUGUAAAGCUCUUAAUGCAGUGUCUGCCACAUAAUUAGUGCCCUCAAAAUAGUAAUAUUCAUAGUUUUAAAAUCUCUCUUAUCUGGAAAGAUCAUUGAUCCUAUAGUGUUCUUAAAAUUUUAGUAAAUACCAAAAUAUGUAUAGAAUUUUUUCUGUACAGUGACAUUGCUUUACUCGUGUCUUGAUUUUAGUAUUUAGCAUAUGAGAAACUAUAAAAAAUUGAGAUCAAGUGUUUAUUAGAGGACUGGGAUUAUUUGUUUUAGGAGUUUUGAGAAAAUAAAUGAGAUAGCAAUGCCAAGUGCUUUACAUGGUGCCUGGUGCAUAGUAACUAUUCUCAGGGAAUGUUAGUUCCUCGUGUUCUUGAUUUCAAAUUGCCAAGAAGCUUAGAAAAUAGCACUAUGAUGCUACUGCUGUAUUGUGUUAAUUUGUUGAAUGAACAUAGUAAAUGUAAUUGGAGUAAUAAGAAAGGAAAUUGGCCAACAGCAAUUCAUUUUAAGCUGUAAUGGUAUUUACUGAAAUUGAACCUAACUAAAGCAAAACUCUCUGCUUUCAGCUGAUUUAAAACAUUUGUUUUUCGUUUUGACCAUUUACAUGACACUAGACAUGAAAAAUCUUUGUCUGUGUAUCCUAGUUAGGAGUGAUUUUGAUGUACUCGUCAAGUGAAUACAUUGUUUCUGCAGACUUGGAUUGGGUAUAAUUUUCAGGUCCUGCUGAAGUAGAGCAAAAACCCCAGCUGUGUCUUUUGUUUUCUGGAAACCAGUUGUCAUUCUGUGUUCGUUUUUUUUUUUUUUCUCCCCUAUUUCUACUACAGCUGUGUUGCAGUGGCUAGGUGACAUCUUACUCUUUACCUACAUUUUUUGUCUUGGCAAAAUAAUGCCAGGCAACCAUUACUAAUCUGGAGGCUCAAACCGGAAGAAAAUUGUUUUUUGUUUUUUGGUUUUUGGUUUUUGGUUUUUUUUCCCAAUUCUGCUAGAUAUUCAGGUAAAUGUGUUGGCUAGGAUAGAAAGUUCCAGAAAGUUUGAAUUAAAGAUAAACAGAACUAAUAGCAAAACAAGUAAAAAGGAAAUGAAAAAAGAUUACUCUGGUUUGUGUCAAAGAGAAAUGGUGUUAAAUGAGGCAGCUCCUCUAAUGUAUCAUAUCCAGAAAAUCCUAGGUUGAAGAUUAAUGAUGAAAGUUCAGAAUAAAUUCAGAGUCCCCACUGAAUAAUUUUCUCAUUGACUCAUCUAGACUGUAGUGCCAUCUAUCUGUAUAUAGAAAUGGUCAUUGAAAUUCUUCUCUUCAACUACAUACUUUCCUGAAAAAUUAUGUUAAAUAGGAUAUUUGUUUCUGGGAAUUUUAUUAGUGUUAAAUUAGUUACCUUUGCUCUCUAGUCAACAGCUUUUUUCAGUAAAUUAAAUACUAAGUUCUAGGUACUGUACAUUCAGUAGGGAGUAGGAAAAGAGAAUGCCCUUCCCCUUGUGGAGCUUAUUUACUAUGAUCUGGUUUAUUAUUAGACUUACUAUGAUUUACUUGACAUCAAAUUUAAAAUUACUUUAGUAUUCAGCUUCUCAAAUUAAGUGAAUGUAAAGAAACCUGUGGUGCUGAGAAUGUUCUGUAUCUUGAUCUGGGAGGUAGUUACAUGGGUGUGUAUGCAUGUGCAUGUAUGUGGUGAUCUAUUCUAAUUCAGAUUAUUGCAUUUUACUCAUAUUUCAGUGUAAACUUUAAAAAAAAUUAGAUGUGCAUUGAAACUCUGCAGUGGUUCCCAUUGCACCUAGAAAAAACCAUA
Molecule: long non-coding RNA, 18563 nt
Organism: Mirounga angustirostris (Northern elephant seal)
Lineage: Eukaryota; Metazoa; Chordata; Mammalia; Carnivora; Phocidae
Exons: 2
Source: RefSeq, a predicted model, not a curated record